Molecule: long non-coding RNA, 1158 nt
Filed under: Capsicum annuum
Lineage: Eukaryota; Viridiplantae; Streptophyta; Magnoliopsida; Solanales; Solanaceae
Description: long non-coding RNA (CANN_LNC002182)
Source: RNAcentral
UACAUGGAAGCAUGAAUAUGCAUGAAAGGAUUCCAGUAAAAAAGGGGGCACUCUUCCUAACCUAAUGUGAUAAUUAUUUAAAUGAGAGUAGGAUAUGAUGUUGGUUUUAAUUUCUAUAAUAUUAGAAAUGCUGCAACAUUUAUUAAAGGAUCGUACAUUAAUAGUAAAUCCCAAUCAAUUCCCUUUGUGACAAACAGACAGCUUCACAUACUUAUCAAUGAAAAGAAACACACAAAAGCUAAAGAAAUUUCAUCAACUGCCUAUCAAAAUACUCAACCGUAAUACAAAACUGAAGAGUUGAAGAUAACUUCUAAAAAUAGAUAAAUAAAUUUACACUACAGAUGAACUAAGACAAGUUUGUUUCAACUCUUUUCUCUUAUGUUGCACAAUAUAUAAGACAAUCCAAUCUAUGGAAGCAAAGAAGUUCUCACUUAAACCAAGAAACUAUCAAUUUUUCCAACACUAAAAUCAAAAUGCAGCUGUGCCCUUCAAAUAAAUCGAUCCAUACCAAGACUGUAUGAUAUUCUCAUGUUACUAGAGACGAAAGAAAACGGUUUGCAUGUUGUUUCGAAAACUGCAUGCCUAAGCAUAACAACCCGUCUUAGUCAAGAGACUGAAUGAACACAAAAGAAGCGAAACUGACGUAUAAACAUAAAUUCCAUCUUACAAUAGAUAUCCAAAGAAACAAAAAACUAUGACGCUCCAUCCCCAUAACGAAAACAAAAUUGGACUAUUCUCUUUAAAGUGACAUACUCAAAAUCAUAACUAUUGCAUCCAUCAGUCUAGCCCAACCACAAAAUGGCAACAAGCUUAAGAGACAAGAGGGAAAAAAAGGAAAUCCAAAUUUACAUGAGAAAAGACACAGUAAAUAGAGAUAAAGGGGAAGUGGCGGGGCACUAAUAUAAACCUCAUCCUCUUUCUGACAAACUCAAAAUGAAUUUUAAUAGUAAAAACAAUCAUCGAGGAAUCAUGGGAUUUGCUAGUUUUUAUUAGAUGUAUCCUCGUUAUUCUUUGUCAUUUGAGAAGCCAAAGAAUUCAAAAGGAGGUCCUACUAAUGGCGCUACCAUCUCAGCCACAUCAAACUAAUGACGACAAACAAGACAACGUCAAAUACUAACCACGAACAUGACACCAUCAACCCGAACCUAUUAAACAAAA